AACGCGAAGAACCUUACCCAGACUUGACAUUGAUGGAAUCCUUUAGAAAUAGAGGAGUACCCUUCGGGGACCUGAAAACAGGUGCUGCAUGGCUGUCGUCAGCUCGUGUCGUGAGAUGUUGGGUUAAGUCCCGCAACGAGCGCAACCCUUGCCGUUAGUUGCCAUCAGGUUAUGCUGGGCACUCUAGCGGGACUGCCGGUGUUAAACCGGAGGAAGGUGGGGAUGACGUCAAGUCCUCAUGGCCUUUAUGUCUGGGGCUACACACGUGCUACAAUGGCAACUACAAACCGACGCGAACUCGUGAGAGGGUGCAAAUCGGAAAAAAGUUGUCUCAGUUCGGAUUGGAGUCUGCAACUCGACUUCAUGAAGCUGGAAUCGCUAGUAAUCGUGGAUCAGCACGCCACGGUGAAUACGUUCCCGGGCCUUGUACACACCGCGAGC
Molecule: ribosomal RNA, 441 nt
Filed under: uncultured bacterium
Lineage: Bacteria
Description: bacterial SSU rRNA
Rfam family: Bacterial small subunit ribosomal RNA
Source: RNAcentral